UUAAAAAUAAUGCGUUACUGUUAUCGUUAUUGUGGUAACUCACCGUUAUAUGUUAUCAAAUUUAAAAAGCAACUCAUUACCAUUACUUAAAAGUAACGAUAAAAAAUCGUUAUUUUUCGUUACCUUUUUGUAAUUAUGCAGGAUGAGACGAGCCUACUACUCACCGAUUUUGAUGAAAUUAGACUCAAUCGACACGUUUUUGCACGAAAUGAACGAAUCUGGCAAAAAAAUAAGUCUCUGUCCCGUAAACUGAGAUUAAUGGUUAAAGUUGAUGACUAUUGAGUUUUUAGUGCUUAUGCUAAAGCGACGAUACUGAUUGAAACAAAAAUAAGCAAAAAGUUUUUUAUGUAUUUAGUAUUUAUAAUUUUAUUGUCCGUAACGGCCGUGACCUAUAAAAAAGUAACGAGACAACGAGACAAGUAACGGGAUCAAUUUCGUUACUCGUUAUUAAAGAUGUAACGUCGUUACUUUUUUUACUAAUAAAAAAAAUUACGAAAAAGUAA
Acromyrmex echinatior (Panamanian leafcutter ant) is the source of this 503-nucleotide long non-coding RNA. NCBI's taxonomy places the organism in Eukaryota, Metazoa, Arthropoda, Insecta, Hymenoptera, Formicidae. The record is from RefSeq and is a predicted model, not a curated record.